GCCUUUGUGGUGUAAUGGUCAGCACACUUGAUGCGUAUUCAAGAAGUCAGAGGUUAGAGUCCCGGCAAGGGCA
Non-coding RNA from Stegodyphus mimosarum, 73 nucleotides. NCBI's taxonomy places the organism in Eukaryota, Metazoa, Arthropoda, Arachnida, Araneae, Eresidae. The record is from Rfam.